CUUCUCUGCCUUCUUCUCUUUCCUAAAACAGCCAAUUUGCCUUCCACUUAGAUUUGCUGUUGAACCUAACCUCUUGUUUCGUUACACAUUCUUUCUUGAUCUGUUUCAACUCUUUCUUUGUGGAUAGCAUGGCUAUGGAACCAAGCUUCUUUGAGCAUGAGGUACACUUUGAAUCUGAAGAUGUUGCACUUAAGCCAAAAUGGAAAUCCAUCUCAACCCCUACUGGCAUCUCAGAUGAUGAUGGUGAUUGUUUUGACUGCAACAUAUGCUUAGACUCGGCACAAGAUCCUAUUGUCACUCUUUGUGGUCAUCUGUAUUGCUGGCCAUGUAUUUACAAGUGGCUGCAAGUUCAAAGUUCUCCAGAUGCCAAUGAGCAGCAGCCAAGCUGCCCUGUUUGU
This 398-nucleotide unclassified non-coding RNA is filed under the name Hevea brasiliensis (rubber tree). Lineage: Eukaryota; Viridiplantae; Streptophyta; Magnoliopsida; Malpighiales; Euphorbiaceae. The record is from RNAcentral.